This 391-nucleotide ribosomal RNA is filed under the name Citrobacter sp. BAKZL1110. RNAcentral's name for it is "partial 16S ribosomal RNA". Lineage: Bacteria; Pseudomonadati; Pseudomonadota; Gammaproteobacteria; Enterobacterales; Enterobacteriaceae. The record is from RNAcentral.
CCCGCCCUUAAGGAGAUUUGAUCCUGGCUCAGGCUCUACUCGGUUACCCGGGUAGCCAAGUCGGUUACCCGGUUGCCAAGUCGGUUACACGGGGGCCAAGGGUGAAAUUCUGCCGUAUAUCCAUCACACUGGCGGGACGCUCGAGCUUGCGUCUCCAGGGCCCCAUUCGCCCUGUAGUGUGUCGAUAUUACAAUUCACUGGCAUUUCGAUCUGUUCACAGCAGCUCGGUGAACAUGGCGUAGAGAACCUCUUAGGCGAUCUUACCCUACACUUAAGUCGACCUACUGUCCACGCCACUAUCUCCCCUAGUCUUGGCCGAGUCAUGUGACCGCUAAAUAGGCGCACAGCAGGCCCAGUCGACCGCAAUCGCCCCACCUUAUUGCCUCUCGAA